Molecule: ribosomal RNA, 126 nt
Filed under: Lepisosteus oculatus (spotted gar)
Lineage: Eukaryota; Metazoa; Chordata; Actinopteri; Semionotiformes; Lepisosteidae
Source: RNAcentral
AACAGCAGCAAUAUCACUCUGCAACUCACAACUCACAACUGGCAACCCACUGAAGCUAAGCAGGUGUGAGCCUGGUUAAUACCUGGAUGGGAGACCUCCUGGGAAAAACUAAGGUUGCUGCUGGAA